AUGUUGUCCCAGUGUUCUCUAAGCCUCGUCCGGGGUUUGGCCGGUGUAGGCCGUCAUUAAGAACGUGUUUUUAUCUGACUUGCCUAGUUAAAUAAAGUUUAGAUAAAAAUGUCAGUGUUCGUCAAAGUCUUGUAAAUAUUAAUGGAUCCAGCACACCUUCUGCACGUGCAAGUCACUACAACUAUUUUCCACGUGAUUCUGUCUGACUCCUGAUGCUUUACCGUCACUUUCCACAGUAAAAGCAGCAGAAUAUUUCAUCGAGCUAUAGCCUGGGGGUGAAGUGUGCAAAAAAACAUUCUGACACACUAUCAACUCUCUGACGUUGAGAUAACUUCCCGGUACUGAUCAAGUGUAACAAGAUGCCUGAAGCAGAUUCAGAAAGAUACUUCCUAAAUGUGAGGACACGGUUGCAUAUUCAGCUAUUCCCAUUUCCUGUCAUUCCCUUCCGAAACAGCGCCAAAUUGUAUCACGGCUACUGUCCCUAAAGGAGGGAACCAGUUUAAAUGCUGCAUGGUAAGUAAUUGCUCCAUUUUCCAUAUUAAAUCAUUACUGUAUUCACUCUUAUUCCUAUAAAAGAAUCCAGUCAUUGCAUUACAAUAUGUUGUAGUGUUAAAUCAUAAAAUAAUAUGAUUGCCAUUGUUUGGAUUGUGUGGAAACAUUUGGCUGUAUUAGCACAAUUUACCAUAUACAUUUUUACUCAGAUCUCAAUGAUUAGUCAACUCUGAAGUAAUAUUCUCUAUUUACUAAGUGUUAUGGUGUGUUCUUUACAGAGAAGAUGAGCUCUCCUUACCUGUGCAAACACCACCAGUGUUGAUGUUCUCCUGUAAAACGGCACUCAUCAUUUUCAGUGUACUUUUCCAUCCUCAGUAGGCAAACACUGUUUUCUGAGAGGCUGCAUAGUCUGGCCACUACAGAAUGACCGAGAGAAUGGGACAAAAAUCCAAGCAAGCUGGUCCUGGGGCUCUGUUCACAAACACAAACAGAGCCCCAGGACAGCAACA
RNAcentral lists this long non-coding RNA (1001 nucleotides) under Oncorhynchus mykiss (rainbow trout). RNAcentral describes it as "lncRNA (ENSOMYG00000076881.1)". Lineage: Eukaryota; Metazoa; Chordata; Actinopteri; Salmoniformes; Salmonidae. The record is from RNAcentral.